RNAcentral lists this ribosomal RNA (42 nucleotides) under Beauveria bassiana. Its description in RNAcentral is "partial large subunit ribosomal RNA". The record is from RNAcentral. Lineage: Eukaryota; Fungi; Ascomycota; Sordariomycetes; Hypocreales; Cordycipitaceae.
GACCUCGAAUCAGGUAGGACUACCCGCUGAACUUAAGCAUAU